AACGAACGCUGGCGGCAUGCCUAACACAUGCAAGUCGAACGAGACCUUCGGGUCUAGUGGCGCACGGGUGCGUAACGCGUGGGAACCUGCCCUUAGGUUCGGAAUAACUCCCCGAAAGGGGUGCUAAUACCGGAUAAUGUCUUCGGACCAAAGAUUUAUCGCCUUUGGAUGGGCCCGCGUUGGAUUAGCUAGUUGGUAGGGUAAAACCCUACCAAGGCGACGAUCCAUAGCUGGUCUGAGAGGAUGAUCAGCCACACUGGGACUGAGACACGGCCCAGACUCCUACGGGAGGCAGCAGUGGGGAAUAUUGGACAAUGGGCGAAAGCCUGAUCCAGCAAUGCCGCGUGAGUGAUGAAGGCCUUAGGGUUGUAAAGCUCUUUUACCCGGGAUGAUAAUGACAGUACCGGGAGAAUAAGCUCCGGCUAACUCCGUG
This 433-nucleotide ribosomal RNA is filed under the name uncultured bacterium. RNAcentral describes it as "partial 16S ribosomal RNA". It matches the Rfam family "Bacterial small subunit ribosomal RNA", at positions 29 to 507 of the family's 1533-position model. The record is from RNAcentral.